CCGACGCCACACAACUGGCCACCGACCUAGGAUCGGUCGACUCCUCCGAUCGCCAUAUAGCCGCCAGAGCUGUCAGUCCUGACAGCAACAUGCGACACUGCCACCUAGGGGCAUUAUCCCGUCUAGGGCAUUGUCAACCCUAGUGAUUUGACAGCCCCACGGCGAUAUGACACUUUUACGGCGACUCUGACAGUCUACAGUGAGUUGACAAUUCCUCA
Molecule: long non-coding RNA, 218 nt
Filed under: Elaeis guineensis (African oil palm)
Lineage: Eukaryota; Viridiplantae; Streptophyta; Magnoliopsida; Arecales; Arecaceae
Description: long non-coding RNA (EGUI_LNC040151)
Source: RNAcentral